AGUCCAGGCAGCCACCAGCUGGCCUGGUCUUGCUGCUUCCUUUAGCGGCUUCCAAGGUCCAGGGACAGGGGGUCUGGGCCACCAAGAGGCUCUGCUAGGCUGUCCCUGCAGCCACAGCCACCCCACUGGACCCCUGCCUCCCAUCUGAGAGGACAGCCCUCUUCCUGGAGCUGGGAUCUGACACUUGCUGAUACCAACGGCAGAUACCAGGUAACGAGAUGUGAGCAGAAACAACCUGUGUCACACCUGGGCAGAAGCUUUAAAGGCCAGUGCUGCCCUUGUUGGGGAAGCAAGUAUAGAUAUGAAUCGUUCCACAACGCGGAGCGCCCCCUGCCGACCCAUGCUGGGCGUGUACUAUAGAUGAGGAGACUGAGGAUCAGAGAGAUAAAGUCACCUGUCCAAGGUCAUACUGUGGAUGUAGCUCUAACCCAAGCCCUCCCGACUGCAGCACAAAUUCUCAGCCACUACCCUAUUAGCCCCUUCAUUUGAAGGUGUCUUCAUCAUUGCCAAGAUUCCUUUUCCUCCCGGCCCCCUAAGUCUUCAGGAUUCCCUCAUCUCAUCUCCCCAGAGAAGCCAUGACACCAUCUUCUCCAAAAACAAAGUCAGCGCUUUCACUGUAGAUGGACCUGUGUUCUUCCCCCAAACUCAGUCCACCUCAUCUCCAGAAAAACUAUAUGACUUGCCCUGGAGAAGAGGGGGAAAAAAAAACCUCUUCCCACCAACUCCACCUCCCAAAUUACUGGAUUUGGGGUAAAUUUACAGGCUGGAGACAGAAGAAUGGAUGUGUAUUUAGCUUUCAAAUUGACUAUUGUUUUAUGUGAAUGUCUGAUAAAGAAAACACAAUGGCUGCCAGAUGGGGCCUGGGAGUGAGAUUUCCCAUGUGGAGAAUUCUAGAAGACAUGCCUGGAGUUCUGGAGCCUGGAUCCUCUGGACAGACAGGUGGCCAGCUAACCAGGGUGGAGGCACCAAAGAUAACUGUGGGGUGGGGAGAAGACACCAGCCCAAGAGAUUUGACUGGGAUUGGUCUACGCAAGAAUGGAAAAUGGAGGCAGAAUGAGUUAGCAGCAAGCACACGUACACUGCUAUAGAAUCUGAGGGACCCGGCCAGUGCUGGCCAAUAGAAAUAGAAUGUGAGCCACAGACAUAAUUUAAACUUUUCUUGUAGUCACUUAAAAACAUGGUAAAUCUAUGAAAUAGAAGAUUGCUCGUGCAAAUAAAUGAACUCUGCUUUGGUCUCAGUGAUCAGGGGUCCCACACUCAAGUGCCCUCAAUACCCAGAGAAGUAACUGAAAUAAAUGGAACAGAUAGGGUGUGAGCAAAGUUCACACGUUCCUCUAA
RNAcentral lists this long non-coding RNA (1338 nucleotides) under Homo sapiens (human). RNAcentral's name for it is "non-protein coding HNF4A-AS1:16". The record is from RNAcentral. Lineage: Eukaryota; Metazoa; Chordata; Mammalia; Primates; Hominidae.